AAAAAUUUUAAAGCACAUUCAAGAUGCUUUGGGUCUGCCUGAUCAGUACACAAUGUGUUAACAUAAUAGGGAAAUGUGCUAAACUUUUAAGAUUACUGCAACCGAGAGAUGAAAAGGAUUCAACAAGGAAACAGACCAUUUCCUCCACCAGGGUUAACUCCUACUCUGAAUCUUUGGGCUGACAAAUAAUUCUACAUGCAGUUGUCGGAGCAAUUGCCUUACCAUUUUCUCACCAGAAACUGCGUGUUGACUUGGAAGUGAAAGGGGGAGUAGGGACCGAGGGAAGAUGGCAGAGAGGAGGUGAGUUUCAGCAGGUUAAGCGUCAGCCCUGAGAAGACCAUUGGACUUCCUAGAGAAUUGUUCACCCUUCCUCGGGCAAACGCUGCCUCCGAAAGGCUCUUGAGCUGCAAGGGGAUAUGUUGGCCCAAGCUGGUGAAGUAUUUGAACGCACAUAUGGGGGGUGAAGAUGGACUGAAAACAGAAGGAUCUGUCGGAAGUCUGCUUGAGAAAUAGCGAACUCCUCCCCAGACGCCUCUAUCCCACUCCAUGCAGUUGGUGAACUGCCCUUCUUCUACCCCAGCAGAAGCCAGGAGACUCCUUCUCUUCGGAGCGGGACAUGGAGGGCAUUCCGACUGGAGGCUGUCAGGCUAAGUCGAAGGCAAAGGUAUCAUGCUGAAAAUAACGAUUAAGUGGAAAGUGACAUUCUUUACGUUGAAACCACUAAGCCUUCUUUCCCAUGGUGCUUCCAGAAUCCUGAUAUCUAGGCAGAAGUUUGGAAGAGUCUUUUCUAGGUCAUAUGAUUGGCUUAAGGGGACAAUCCUCAAACAAACCACCCCGCCGGCUAACAAUCCACAUGCUCCAAGCCCCUCCCAUAUGCACACAGUUCCAAUCAUCUUUUUAUAGCUCAAAUAUUAAAUAUGAGCAGACAAUACGGAUCACCAGGCAUUUGAGCACAUCUUCUUAUGUAAAAGAGAGCGGUCCAAUCCAACAAAGAGGAAAAAAAAGUAGAGUAAAUGACUGUGCUAUAAGAAAACAAUGUCAGAUAGUCACUGAUAUCCUAAGAAAGAUCAAGCAUUCAUGACAUAAGAAUAGGAAUUUACUCUUUUAAAAAGGAAUAUAGGAUAUUCAGAGACUAAAAAGGAGAUCUUGUAUAUUAAAAUAUAUAAUAUUUUAUAUAAAAUAAAACAAUAUUGAAA
This is a long non-coding RNA of Felis catus (domestic cat), 1196 nucleotides long. RefSeq lists it as uncharacterized. Lineage: Eukaryota; Metazoa; Chordata; Mammalia; Carnivora; Felidae. The transcript has 3 exons. The record is from RefSeq and is a predicted model, not a curated record.